GACGAACGCUGUGCGGCGUGCUUAACACAUGCAAGUCGAACGGAAAGGCCCUGCUUUUGUGGGGUGCUCGAGUGGCGAACGGGUGAGUAACACGUGAGUAACCUGCCCUUGACUUUGGGAUAACUUCAGGAAACUGGGGCUAAUACCGGAUAGGAGCUCCUGCUGCAUGGUGGGGGUUGGAAAGUUUCGGCGGUUGGGGAUGGACUCGCGGCUUAUCAGCUUGUUGGUGGGGUAGUGGCUUACCAAGGCUUUGACGGGUAGCCGGCCUGAGAGGGUGACCGGCCACAUUGGGACUGAGAUACGGCCCAGACUCCUACGGGAGGCAGCAGUGGGGAAUAUUGCACAAUGGGCGGAAGCCUGAUGCAGCAACGCCGCGUGCGGGAUGACGGCCUUCGGGUUGUAAACCGCUUUCGCCUGUGACGAAGCGUGAGUGACGGUAAUGGGUAAAGAAGCACCGGCUAACUACGUGCCAGCAGCCGCGGUGAUACGUAGGGUGCGAGCGUUGUCCGGAUUUAUUGGGCGUAAAGGGCUCGUAGGUGGUUGAUCGCGUCGGAAGUGUAAUCUUGGGGCUUAACCCUGAGCGUGCUUUCGAUACGGGUUGACUUGAGGAAGGUAGGGGAGAAUGGAAUUCCUGGUGGAGCGGUGGAAUGCGCAGAUAUCAGGAGGAACACCAGUGGCGAAGGCGGUUCUCUGGGCCUUUCCUGACGCUGAGGAGCGAAAGCGUGGGGAGCGAACAGGCUUAGAUACCCUGGUAGUCCACGCUGUAAACGGUGGGUACUAGGUGUGGGGUCCAUUCCACGGGUUCCGUGCCGUAGCUAACGCUUUAAGUACCCCGCCUGGGGAGUACGGCCGCAAGGCUAAAACUCAAAGGAAUUGACGGGGCCCCGCACAAGCGGCGGAGCAUGCGGAUUAAUUCGAUGCAACGCGUAGAACCUUACCUGGGUUUGACAUGGAUCGGGAGUGCUCAGAGAUGGGUGUGCCUCUUUUGGGGUCGGUUCACAGGUGGUGCAUGGCUGUCGUCAGCUCGUGUCGUGAGAUGUUGGGUUAAGUCCCGCAACGAGCGCAACCCUUGUUCACUGUUGCCAGCACGUUAUGGUGGGGACUCAGUGGAGACCGCCGGGGUCAACUCGGAGGAAGGUGGGGAUGACGUCAAGUCAUCAUGCCCCUUAUGUCCAGGGCUUCACGCAUGCUACAAUGGCUGGUACAGAGAGUGGCGAGCCUGUGAGGGUGAGCGAAUCUCGGAAAGCCGGUCUCAGUUCGGAUUGGGGUCUGCAACUCGACCUCAUGAAGUCGGAGUCGCUAGUAAUCGCAGAUCAGCAACGCUGCGGUGAAUACGUUCCCGGGGCUUGUACACACCGCCCGUCAAGUCAUGAAAGUUGGUAACACCCGAAGCCGGUGGCCUAACCGUUGUGGGGGAGCCGUCGAAGGUGGGACUGGUGAUUAGGACUAAGAC
RNAcentral lists this ribosomal RNA (1453 nucleotides) under uncultured organism. Its description in RNAcentral is "partial small subunit ribosomal RNA". It matches the Rfam family "Bacterial small subunit ribosomal RNA". The record is from RNAcentral.